Molecule: ribosomal RNA, 326 nt
Filed under: uncultured eukaryote
Lineage: Eukaryota
Description: partial 18S ribosomal RNA
Rfam family: Eukaryotic small subunit ribosomal RNA
Source: RNAcentral
CCCUUAGAUGUUCUGGGCCGCACGCGCGCUACACUGUUUGAUUCAGCGAGUCUUAACCUUGACCGAAAGGUUUGGGUAAUCUUCUAAAGUCAAACGUGAUGGGGAUCGAUCAUUGCAAUUAUUGAUCGUGAACGAGGAAUUCCUAGUAAAUGCAAGUCAUCAGCUUGCGUCGAUUACGUCCCUGCCCUUUGUACACACCGCCCGUCGCUCCUACCGAUUGGGUGUGCUGGUGAAAUGUUCGGAUCGGCCGUUUGUCGCGGUUUCCGCGUCAUGUGGCUGAGAAGUUCAUUAAACCCUCCCACCUAGAGGAAGGAGAAGUCGUAACA